GCCCCAGUAGCUCAUUUGGUAGAAUGCAUGCCACAUACACAGUGGCGCAGGUUCAAAUCCAGCCUGGGCCC
Molecule: non-coding RNA, 71 nt
Organism: Albula goreensis
Lineage: Eukaryota; Metazoa; Chordata; Actinopteri; Albuliformes; Albulidae
Source: the annotation of a GenBank genome assembly